Long non-coding RNA from Astatotilapia calliptera (eastern happy), 908 nucleotides. NCBI's taxonomy places the organism in Eukaryota, Metazoa, Chordata, Actinopteri, Cichliformes, Cichlidae. The record is from Ensembl.
GUUAUUUUAAAGAUGUCUCUCACUGGUAUUUGUACAGUUAAUUAGCACAAUACUUUAGCUUUACACAUUUGCUUUCAGAAUAAGCUACUUUACAUUUGUUGUUCUAGUAGUAGCAUGAUCUUUUAUUUUAAACAGGUGGGCCCAACAUAUGGCCGCAAAAUGAUGAAGGGCUAUCUGUCCACAAAAGGGGUACAUGCUGCAGAGGGACGAAUUGGGUCAAUUUUAAGAGAGGUGCAUCAACCUUAUCAUGAAGCAAGACGCCAGGGAGCUCGGAAUCUUAAUCCCACACCGUACCAUGCUGAAUGCAUGGGGCACAAGGUUCACCUGGACCAAAACGAGAAACUUGUAAUGUUUGGAGUCACCCAUGUUUUAGCUGUAGAUGGAUUCAGUAAAAAGAUUGUGAGUCAUUCCACAAUGCCAAUCAAAAACAACUUGAGCAUCUAUGAAUAUGUUUUCAGACCUGCAGUGAUCACCUAUGGUAUGUGGGACCAGGUGCGAGUAGACCAUGGAAAGGAAUUUUAUUUAACACUGUUCAUGCAAGAGAUGCUGUCACAUCAUCGCUUCAAUCAGGAGAGACUGCCUUAUUUACAGACCUCAUCCACAAGAAACCACACAGUUGAAAGGAUUUGGCCUGAAAUCAACAACCGUGUCAACUACCCACUAAAAACUGCCCUACUCCAGCUGAUGGACCAGGAGGAGAUAGAUAUGGAGGAUAACCUUGUGCGAUACUGUGUGUCCAAUCUAACCUGUCAGCUGUGUAACAUUGGUCUUGCAAGUGUGGUAGAAUCAUGGAAUGCUCAUAGAAUCCCAGGAAAAGGCAUACCAAAUCACUUUGCAGAACAUGGGUGUAAAAGAAGAAUUUCUCCAGAGCUCUUGCCAAAUGCACUUGAAGCAGCAGACCUUUACAG